UACGGAGGGUGCAAGCGUUAUCCGGAUUCACUGGGUUUAAAGGGUGCGUAGGCGGGUUGGUAAGUCAGUGGUGAAAUCUUCAAGCUUAACUUGGAAACUGCCGUUGAUACUAUCAAUCUUGAAUGUUGUGGAGGUAAGCGGAAUAUGUCAUGUAGCGGUGAAAUGCUUAGAUAUGACAUAGAACACCGAUAGCGAAGGCAGCUUGCUACACAAUAAUAGACGCUGAGGCACGAAAGCGUGGGGAUCAAACAGG
This 253-nucleotide ribosomal RNA is filed under the name uncultured bacterium. RNAcentral describes it as "partial 16S ribosomal RNA". It matches the Rfam family "Bacterial small subunit ribosomal RNA", at positions 524 to 776 of the family's 1533-position model. The record is from RNAcentral.